Molecule: ribosomal RNA, 495 nt
Filed under: uncultured Capnocytophaga sp.
Lineage: Bacteria; Pseudomonadati; Bacteroidota; Flavobacteriia; Flavobacteriales; Flavobacteriaceae
Description: partial 16S ribosomal RNA
Source: RNAcentral
CACGGAGUUAGCCGAUGCUUAUUCGCAGAGUACCGUCAUCAAAGUACACGUACUCCUUAUUCUUCCCCUGUAAAAGCAGUUUACAACCCAUAAGGCCGUCUUCCUGCACGCGGCAUGGCUGGAUCAGUCUUCCGACCAUUGUCCAAUAUUCCUCACUGCUGCCUCCCGUAGGAGUCUGGUCCGUAUCUCAGUACCAGUGUGGGGGAUAUCCCUCUCAGAACCCCUAUCUAUCGUCGCCUUGGGGAGCCGUUACCUCUCCAACUAGCUAAUAGAACGCAUACUCAUCUUUCACCGCCUCAGCUUUAAUAUAAAUGUGAUGCCACUCCUAUAUACCAUUGGGUAUUAAUCCAAAUUUCUUCGGGCUAUCCCUAUGUGAAAGGCAGAUUGUAUACGCGUUACGCACCCGUACGCCGGUCGAAGCCCCGAAAGCUCCUCCCUCGACUUGCAUGUGUUAGGCCUGCCGCUAGCGUUCAUCCUGAGCCAGGAUCAAACUCU